GCUGUGGCCUACUGGUUAGGGCUUCUGGCUUGAAACCAAAGGGUUUCCGGUUUAAUCCCCGACCAGCA
Molecule: transfer RNA, 68 nt
Filed under: Alosa alosa (allis shad)
Lineage: Eukaryota; Metazoa; Chordata; Actinopteri; Clupeiformes; Clupeidae
Description: tRNA-Ser
Source: RNAcentral